CACAACUCUUUAUUUAUUUGAUUUUUUAUCUAUAUGCCAGAUAGGGCUGGCUGUUGUAAUAGGAGCCACCAGCAGCCCUGGAUGGAGAAAAGAUGGUCCAGGAGACAGACAUACCUACAAUGCUGCAUAGGCCAGGCCUGGGUGCUGGGCCUGAGCUUACAUGGAUCCUGGGGAGAUGAGCAGGCCUGUGUGGCUGAGGGUCCUAGCUGAGGCCACUCAGGGCAAUGGCAGCCUACAGGUGCCCUCAGGGCUGUCACACUUGGAGGUGCUUUGGUUUAAAUUGGACAUAAUGCAUGGGAAUAGGGCUGCUUAGGUUCUGGUUGGGUGGUUCUUCCUUUUUGUGUGCCUGCCCUGAUAGUGCUGCAUGUAUGGGGGGAAAUAGACUGGCUACAGCACCCCAAGGGUCUGUUUGUCUUUCCUUUGAAACUACAACGUGGUGGAUUCAGCAACAUGAGUUCUUCAGGAAGGGACAUAUCGAUAUGGAAGAGGAACAAAACCACCAUAAUAAAGAGGUAAAAUCAAGGUAA
This 527-nucleotide long non-coding RNA is filed under the name Anser brachyrhynchus (Pink-footed goose). Its description in RNAcentral is "lncRNA (ENSABRG00000006653.1)". The record is from RNAcentral. Lineage: Eukaryota; Metazoa; Chordata; Aves; Anseriformes; Anatidae.